This 654-nucleotide long non-coding RNA is filed under the name Hordeum vulgare. RNAcentral describes it as "long non-coding RNA (HVUL_LNC013946)". Lineage: Eukaryota; Viridiplantae; Streptophyta; Magnoliopsida; Poales; Poaceae. The record is from RNAcentral.
CAGACAGAGAUACUCAUUCAGACAGGCACGGGGAUACGUUUGACCUGAUGCACUGACAAGUGGGGCCCGUGCUUACGUGGAUAAGUUGUGGGUCCAGCUCCGUAUAGCUAAUGAGGGCAUCAGUUCAGAUUAAGGGCCAUGUCGUGUGUGGGAUAUUUCCUCGGUCAUAAACGACGCACUGAGGCAAUUCAGACGAACGACGUCGCACUCCUUCCAAUUCACCUCAAAAACGUCGCACAGGAGCCAUUGACCCCUUUUGUGCAUACAAGAAGAAGCGUAUAGCCCUCCUCGCCCCCCUUGUCUUUGCGCUUGAACAUCAUAUAGCUAUCAGCUGGAUAUACUAUUAACCAUGUUCUUAAGAAUCUCUGCCUUCUCUUGAUGUAGGAGAAGUGGGUUAGCUAAGAUCUACAAUGAUAAUGACACCUGUGGGGACUCACAACCUAUGAAGAUACUUCCUGGUGCCGCUCGUUCUGAAGAAUUAAAGCAAAACAAAUCUCCACCUCCUCUGCAUCUAAGACUUUCAUGUGUUCCUACCAAGAGAGGAUUGAGCUUGUGUCUCGUAUGACUACCGAAACAUAAGGAUGUAUACAUAUAUUUAUACAUGCAGAAUAACAAGGAAGAGUAAUAAGAGGUGGAAACACUUGAGAGCCUAGG